AGAGUUUGAUCAUGGCUCAGGACGAACGCUGGCGGCGUGCCUAACACAUGCAAGUCGAACGGAACUUUUUUAAAGGAUUUCUUCGGAAUGAAUUUGAUUAAGUUUAGUGGCGGACGGGUGAGUAACGCGUGAGUAACCUGCCUCUAAGAGGGGAAUAACAUUCUGAAAAGAAUGCUAAUACCGCAUAACAUAUAUUUAUCGCAUGGUAGAUAUAUCAAAGAUUUAUCGCUUAGAGAUGGACUCGCGUCCGAUUAGUUAGUUGGUGAGGUAACGGCUCACCAAGACCGCGAUCGGUAGCCGGACUGAGAGGUUGAACGGCCACAUUGGGACUGAGACACGGCCCAGACUCCUACGGGAGGCAGCAGUGGGGGAUAUUGCGCAAUGGGGGAAACCCUGACGCAGCAACGCCGCGUGAAGGAUGAAGGUCUUCGGAUUGUAAACUUCUUUUAUUAAGGACGAAGGAAGUGACGGUACUUAAUGAAUAAGCUCCGGCUAACUAC
RNAcentral lists this ribosomal RNA (500 nucleotides) under uncultured bacterium. RNAcentral describes it as "bacterial SSU rRNA". It matches the Rfam family "Bacterial small subunit ribosomal RNA", at positions 8 to 504 of the family's 1533-position model. The record is from RNAcentral.